CUUUUACCUGCUUUUUGUAACAUAACAAUGAGUAAGGUCUUUUACCUGCUUUUUGUAACAUAACAAUGAGUAAGGUAUUUUACCUGCUUUUUGUAAAGUGCCUCGAGAUAACACUUGUUAUGAGUUGACGCUAUACAAAUAAAAAUUGAUUGAUUGA
Long non-coding RNA from Labrus mixtus (cuckoo wrasse), 157 nucleotides. RefSeq lists it as uncharacterized. The transcript has 2 exons. The record is from RefSeq and is a predicted model, not a curated record. NCBI's taxonomy places the organism in Eukaryota, Metazoa, Chordata, Actinopteri, Labriformes, Labridae.